RNAcentral lists this unclassified non-coding RNA (329 nucleotides) under soil metagenome. RNAcentral describes it as "partial contains 5.8S ribosomal RNA, internal transcribed spacer 2, and large subunit ribosomal RNA". The stretch from base 1 to 120 matches the Rfam family "5.8S ribosomal RNA", at positions 35 to 154 of the family's 154-position model. The record is from RNAcentral.
GAUGAAGAACGUAGCGAAACGCGAUAAGUAAUGUGAAUUGCAGAAUUCAGUGAAUCAUCGAAUCUUUGAACGCACAUUGCGCCCCCUGGUAUUCCGGGGGGCAUGCCUGUCCGAGCGUCAUUACAACCCUCAAGCUCAGCUUGGUAUUGGGCCCCGCCGCUCCGGCGGGCCCUAAAGUCAGUGGCGGUGCCGUCCGGCUCCGAGCGUAGUAAUUCUUCUCGCUCUGGAGGUCCGGUCGUGUGCUCGCCAGCAACCCCCAAUUUUUUUCAGGUUGACCUCGGAUCAGGUAGGGAUACCCGCUGAACUUAAGCAUAUCAAUAAGCGGAGGA